This is a long non-coding RNA of Cygnus olor (mute swan), 10847 nucleotides long. RefSeq lists it as uncharacterized. Lineage: Eukaryota; Metazoa; Chordata; Aves; Anseriformes; Anatidae. The record is from RefSeq and is a predicted model, not a curated record. The transcript has 5 exons.
AAAUAAAAAAUCCGAGUGAGAGCCCUCGAACACGACAGGCCAAAUCUGACCGUCUGUUAAGUUUGCUUUAUAUAACGUGCGAGUGCCACGGAGGGGCCUUUAAAACGUCCGAGCCCAUCGCUGGGGAGCCACGGGCGCUGGGGAGCGCGAGGCAGCGCUGCCCCGCAGCACCAGCCUGGUCCCGAGCCAAGAAGCACCUCGCUGCAGAGACUCGAUUUUGGGUGCAGAGCGGGGCGAAUCUGCCCAAAGGAGCUUUCAUAAGGGCUGCGUGGGGGACCGGGGAUUCGUGUGCGCAUUCGGGGCAUAGUAAGGGCUCGUGAAAUAGCGUGCGCCUCCUGUGCAGCCCACCAUCGCUUUCAGACUCAUUUAGCAGAGAGAACAAGCAGAAAUCUCACAACUCGAGUAAGAGCAUAUGCUCUGGGAGACCUCGCUACGUUGCAUAAGCCUUCCCAUUAAAGGAUCUGGCUUUGUGAGCACAGCACAUGAGUCAACAGCACAGCUAGACUUGUAACGUGGGAGUCACACCUACUCUUGGCUGCAGAAUUAUCCAGAGAAACAGAAGGUUAAUAGGAACAAAAUAAAGACUGAGGAACCCUUAAAGGUUAGCUGCAGGAUUUUAUUCAAUUGGCAAGAGGGGAAAAAAAGAAAUGAAAUGGGUCAAGCCAAGGGAGAGAGAGCAGGGUAAUGAAAAGCCACGUCGUCUGUCUCCUAUGCAAAGACAGUUCAGUUUAGAUCAGUAAAAAUGUGAUCAAUAAAACAUUUUUUUUUCCAUAUUAGCUAGUUCUGGAGAGGGUCAUUAUUGAUUACAGAAAGAAAAAGUCACUUGACUGAUGAGCAAGUGAGUGGAGUGAGCUCCAGGAUGCUGAAGAAAUCCUAACAGUGCCUGCAUGCAGUGUGGCAAUGCCUCCCAAAAACAAGGAAAUAGAGACAAAAACCAGCAGGCGUCGGGAGCAGUAUCGCGUCCCUUGGCUUUGCUUCUGCCUUUAUGUCCUUAUUUUGUGUUGAGGCAUUUUGGAAGUACACACAAACAAGGAGGACGUCUGUCGUUGGCCCUUGUAAAGCCUCAGUGUCCCUGGUCCCCUGGCCUUCAGUGCACGGGUGCAGGCUGGGCAAGGCGAGGUGGGAGCAGGAGUGUCCUCGGUGUAUGAACGCCCACCCGUGGAGCUUCUCGCCUUGUGAAGGGUUCGGCUCAGCAAAUCUUACCCCGACACUGAGCCCUUAUGGGAGGCUGGAGCCAGUCUCCGUACAGAUUGAUCAGGGGCAUUGCAGUUUUACAUUCAGGAAUGCGGUGGCCUCGCUGGCCUCUUAAGAAGAAAAGGAAAGAAUUCGGAGUUGUGUUUUGUCUGCAGGAUGUCACCCUUGUUCUUCCUCCUGAGGCUUCGUGUGCCCCAACCUGGCAUCAGCCGCGGUGUGGGCUUGCCUGCCUAAGACCCACCUCAGCGUCUGGACGAGGCUCUCAGACAGAUGGUUUACUUUUCAGGUAGUUGUGCGUGGAGCCAGGAGUUGGGCUCGAUGAUCUUCGUGGGUCCCUUCCAGCUUGGGAUAUUCUGCGAUGCUGCGAUUCUAUGACUCAGUCCCAAAUCUGUGCUGUAAAAACCAGGGAUUACCAGGAUGGGAGUGAGAAAACCUUGAUAGCUCCGAGCUUCUGAUCAGAGCAUAUAGAAGAGCCCCGCGCUGGGCUGCCCUCGCGUUGCUUUUGUUGUUGCAUCGGCUUCUUGGCUCUCCUCCACGUGUACCAAGGUCUAAGUGGAGGGUGGCCGUGGGGGAGGCGUUGGGCAACACAGGCGAUGUUUCAUCCCUCGCUCUCAGUGCUCUUGCAGGGGGAGAGAUCGUCUUGUGAUCAAAGCACAAGACCAGCAGUCAGACGAUCUGGGUUACUGCAAGGUUUGAUUUGCCAAUAUCAGCUCGCAGUUCUGGCACCUCCGAAGGCAGGGGCUGUCAGGGAGCCUGAAGCUUGCCUGCUGCCGCGCACGGAGCAGGUUUUGGGGUUCUUGUGCCUCUUGUGGAAUGAGGAACUGCUCGGCGGGCCUAGCAACAUAAUUUGCCAGUGGUGGGGGUGAGGAACACUUGGUGGCCUUAGUCUGAAGCUUUAAAAAUGGCCUGAAGGCCUGAUGUGUGCCUGGCGAAGGGUAGCGGCGGGGGGAAGAUGGAGAAGGUCCGACCGGGUGGUCUCCACGUGCACCCCGAGCAAGAGGGCGCCCGUGGAGUGCAGGUUUAUGGUCUCGCCAUAAAACCCUGUGCUUGAGGCAGUGAAAAUCCAAACGCAGCCCUGAAGGUCAACUGAUCUCCUUCCUAAAGCGCACGUCCUGACCCUGUGACAUCAGGUCCUGGGGGGGGGGUGCCUGGGGAGCCAUGCGAUGGUGCUCCGGGCACAGCGGAGAAGGGGGCAGCGCAUCUGACCAAGCUUCUGCAUCCCCUGCAUGGCACCAGGGCAGCAGGAAGGCUGCCGAGGUCCUUGCGUUGGCUCCGGGGGGGUAAAAGGACUUCUGUGGGUGAAGCUGAGUGUCUCGGGGAGCCCAGCUGGUAGAUUAGGGGGCAGGUCCCUGGGGGAGCUGAACCCGGCGUCUCUGCACGCUGCCGAUCGCGGGUCUCCGGCUGCGCCGUCUGGCAAUGAGCUGUAGCAGUCUUCAAGAGCCGGAGCUAGAUCCCCGCCUCCCCGCCAGCAGCUGCGAUGGGUCCUGGCACAGGAGGCUGCUCAGUUUUUCCUAAAUCUGGCUGAGCAGUCUCCCGGGAAAUGGGAGUCAGCUUGCUUGCCAUCCCGCCCGCAUCAGUCCAAGAGCAGCAGGUGGGGAGUCAAAGUCCCUCCUGGGCUGAAGACAGAGAGAGGAGCUUUUAUCCUCAAACAUAUGUAUUUUGAAAAUUUCGUGGGGGAAAAAAGAAGUUUCCUUACGGGAAAAAGAAUUAGUAAAUUGAAUUGGCUCCUCUGUGCACAAUGGGGUAAAAUUUGAAGAGGUGAAAAAAGACAGAAAGGAGGGAGAAAUCCCCGCUCAGAAGGCCCCAUGUGGCUUCAGGUGGAACAAAGGGCUCCUGUGAUGGAGGUUUAGGGAAACGCCAGCGUUGCCAGCGAGGAGCUCAGCCGAAAGCCUUCAGCCCUGGCCCUGUGGAGGGCUUUGGGGGCCGGUCCCGAUGCCGUGGCCCUGCCUGCGCCGUGGCAGCCCCGCACAGGGAUUCAGGUGCCCGCCCUGCGCCGCCCGUGGGAAACCCGCGCGGCUCCAAACCACGGGUCUUGUGAUUAUUAUUAUUAUUUUUUUUAAUUCUUAUUAUUUCAGUCCCAUGAUUUUGUUUUCACUGUUUCUAAUUCUUUGCCUUGGGGAAGGGAGGCAGGGAACUGCUGUGGUUUUUUGGGUGUUGUGGGCCAUAAUCUGAAUUUUAACUGACAAGGCAUUGCCAUCCAGACUGCGGGAGGCAGAUGUAGUGAUAAACGGUGGUAAUGCAGCUUUGGAGGAGCUGUGUUUGCAGCAUAACCAGUGGUUUCACUUCGUUUCACUAUUUCACGUCUUUCCUUCUCUUUAUCCAAGCAGUGAAAUCGAUCAAUCAUCAGUCUCCCGGCAGAAAUCGCGGCAUUGUGCUCACUUCAGGGCAGUUGCUAGGACAUCUUGGUGGAGUGCAAGAAUGUGCUUGGCCAAUGGCAGGUAAAGAUUAAAUCCUACACCAUGCUGAGUUUUCAGAACUGGAGGGAUUACAUUAUUUCUAGGUAAUUUAAAUGGCUCCGAGAGAUAGAGUUUUAAACUUGCAUGGUAUUUUUCAUUCUAAGAAGUCCCAGAGCACUUUCCUGGCAGAUUGGGAUAGAGAAACUGUCCCCAGAGAUAAAAUAUGGCAAGCGAGCGAUAGCACCUGCAGUAAAGUGAAGCAAAACCCUGUUGUCUGAAUGCCAGGAGAGGGGGCAUCCAGGCAGACACACGUAUAUGUGCCCACGCCGCAUGCCCUCGUGAGCAAGGCACGACGAAGCGUUCAGCUUUGGGGUCUGCGUGAAGGUGAGCUCGGGGGUGGCUCCGUGUGCCGGCCCCGCUGCCCCCCUCCCCGUCCCGCUCCCCCAGCUCGUCCCUGCUGCCCUGCCACGUCCCCUCCUCUGAGUCACCGGCCCUGCAGCUGCGCUCGGUGCGUGGCCUCUGUCAGGCCCCGGGGGUUUUCUGCGCCUUGCAAUCAGAAAGAAAUCAGCUGGGGCUGCGGUGGCGGGGGAUCGGGAUGGUGAACGUCCCGUUGGCGACGUGGCCGUGCUCCCACCUCGGCUGCAGCCUCCUGCGUCCGUGCGCCCCCCUAGCAGGACGGGGUGGCAGCAUCUACCUUGGGGUCAGCGAGCAUCGGCACCGUUCAGGCCGGUGGGGGAACGCUGUUACCCUCAGUUAAGCAGCGCAGACCCCUCUGAGUGCCCAUCGUUAUCCCUAAUUUAACACAGGCUGCGUUGUGUUUAAAGAGCACGGGCGAGGCCUGGGUGAGCCUGCAGCCCCAGCACAUCGCAGCUCCUCUCCUGAAAGUUUCUUCACUGCUUUUCUCAGGGACACGCAGAAUGGAAAUAGGAGCUCCUGCCAGGGAAUUUCCGCCCCAAGUCGCUCACAGCGAACCGAAAACUACAGAUCUCCCACUGAGUUUCUGAGGAAGUGACUCCCAGCUGAAAACAGCUCUGCAUCCAAAGCACACGAGGAGGGGCGGCGUGGAGGAGGUCAGGGCCGCCAGCUGCGGCGGCGCCGUUGCUCAGCGCGCUGACACGCUCCGCACGGGGUGUCGCUGGCAGGCUGGAGGUGGCUGCACGACGGAAGACGGGGCUAAAUAAAGGUCUGCCACCUCCAUAAUUCCGGCAGCUGAAUUUCAGCACGGUAUCUAGUCACAACGUGACAUAUCUGCUCGGAUUGAAAAGCCAACCUCAAACCUCUCUAAUUUUGGCAAUGCUGGGCUGCAGCCAAAAUGAUUAAUGGAGCGAUCUCUGCUAAGCAGUAACUGCUUUCCCAAGCAGCUCAGCACCGAGGGGAAGAAAACCAGAAGGCGGCACGUUGGAUCAGCUGUGUGCUCCCGAGGGUUCCUGGGCAGGCAGGAGCUCUCGCUUCUCGUGUUUGCUUCAACACAGCCCUAAAAUAUUCCCAGCCCGUAGCAGAUGCACACACGAGCAAGCUUGUAGUCACUGUGGGAUCGAGGAGGCAAUGAGCCCUCUCAUCCCCUACCCUUCCUCAAGUAAUUAUCACGCACUUUGCACCCUAAUGAGAACUGCUCCAUUUUCCCAUCCUUCCACUCCGCUGCUCCUUCCUUGUGGCUGCUUCUCAGACGUCUCCUUUAUAAAGCUGAUCUGGCAAAGAGGUUAUAUUUUAUCUUAAAAAAGAGAAAUCUUUGGAAAUCAGCAGCGUAGCUGUGUGUUAUCAUGCCUGUGACCCGCUAAUUGGGUGACAAGUCCGUGAGGAUGGCGGUGCAGGACGAGGGGCAGAGCGCAGCAAGGACGGCAGCGGCACAAGGGCUUCGUUCCUGUCAGCAUCCCACCGGGGAAGCAACAAAUCCCUGCAGACACAUGAGACCGAAGGAAUAUGGGCAGGCGGGUCUGCAGGAGGCAGAGGAGGAGGCGCGCUCUGCGUGUGAGGCCCUUCAGCCUGUGACCACAACCCACGGGGCUUCGGCUCACCCCAGCCCCUGCCAGACCUCUCCCGCUCCGAACCCUGCGGAGAAGCAGAGCGUUGCCUGACCCGCCGGCUGUCUGUCCCGUGCCAAGCCCCACCGCGUGGCCGUGCCAGGCCGGCCCUGUGCUCCGGCUCCCCUGGGAGAUGAGCCCGGCCAGGAUCGCAGCAAGCCCCUGCUCGGCUCCAGGUGUGUGCGGGUGGGGAGCGCUCGGCCGCACUGGGGAGAGGGGUGGGAGACGCGCUCAGGUAGAAGGUGCUUCCACGCCCACCCAAAACCUCCAGGACAGACCUGAUCUUUGCCACCUAAGAAUGAAAGGUGCGUGGUUGCUCGAAGCACCCUGGGUACAGGUUGCAACAAACUGAGCCCUGCAGCCUGCUCAUGAACCUCCCUUUGACCGUGGCUAUCUGCUCGCUGGUGCUCGGUUCUCAUCGGCUCGGAGGUGCAGGGAAAAACGCGCCUCUCUCCUGCGCCGGAGCUCCCUUUGCACUUCAAACGCCGCUGCCUGUGGUUGAUGUUUGCGCCACAAGCAGCAGGCAUCUCCGAGGAGGAGAGAGCCAGCACUUCCCCGCCAUUGUGUGGGUUUCGCCUGCAAACCUCGCCGCCCAGUCUGGGAGAUGGCAGCGAUCCGCCCAGCAGACAGCAGGGUCCCACCUCGGUUCCUAUUCACCUGGAGAUGAAAGUGCUCUGGCUGCCCGUGUAGGCGGGGCAAAACUAUUUAAAAACCUCAUUAGAGAAAGUAUUUGGGGAAGACAGCAACACCCUCAGUUGUGGUUUGCUCCAGCGCUUCUCAGCCAGAUCGCUUCUGAUACAGAGGGAAGGGCACCCUGAGACACAUUCCUGUCAGCUGUUUCUCCUCUCGGCGGUGCGUUUGGGGCGCUUCGCCCCGCUCCGGCCCCGGGGCUGUGUUCGCUGCGGAAAUGCGGGCGCGCUCCCCCCCAGGUGCUGAGGCCGGCUGCGGGAGGUUUCUGCGGUGCGGAGUGGUCCUGGUUUGGGCUUGAGGAAAGCAAGAGUGUGUGUGUAAUCUUGAUUAGGCACAAAUCCACCGUGAAUAUCUCCUAUUCCACUUAAUUCCUGUUCGUGCUUAUUUCGGCUGCACUUGCAGCAGGAGGAAGGCCUGGCCCGCGUCUGUCUCGCGAUACGCAGGGGAUUGGAGCGGCACGUUGGGAGGAGGCAGGUCUGCAUUCAGAGUUCUGGCUUCUCAUUUAGAGAGCGACUGACUGUGCUGAGCCAGGCUGCCCCACAGCUCAGCCACGUUCACAUCCAAGUGCUUGGAAGGCCGCACGGCCAGCAAACCUCCCGUGCGCGGUGUGUGCUGGUGCUGCGCACCUGCACUGCCUUUACCUCCUGUGUUUUCUUUGCACAAGAAUUCAAUUUAAUCAAAUGGGUCAAAUGCUCAAUGACGACCAGCACGCUCAAGCACCCGUGGUCCUUUUCCCUCUCCCGAUGGAGGAGCCACGUGCAGCCUGCCACCAGCAGCUCGCCGCUGAGCAGGUGCCCCGGGUGUGGUGCUAGCGGCCUGCAGAGCGCAGGCUGGGCUCAGCGAGCCUACCCGCUGCAUCUGGGCUCGCCUGCCUUUAUCCCCAGCGAGGGGGCUGGCAGCGUCCCUGCCAAGAGGGCUGCGUCCCCAUGUGCCACCACCAGCACCACCCUCGCCCUUCACUUCUGCCACGAGCCGCUGGGGCCCUCCCUCCGUGCCUGCCACCUCCCUCUGCGCCUGCCAGCUGUGACAUUUCUGCUCGGAACCGCGUCCCCCUGGACCGAGCAGGAGUCGCCCCGUGUGCCAUCAGCACAUGGAUCGCACAGACCUCGUCCGACAGGCUUGGGGUUCGGGGGUCGAGGUUUAAGCCACCCGUGUCCUGACACGAGCCAGAAGGACAACGCUCCCACUCCCUUCUUGUGCCUGCUUGGUUUUUAUCUUUUAUUGUUUUUGGGGGGUAAUCUUUUAAAUCCAGUUAGCAAGCUGAGAACACUUUUAAUGUAACUGACUCAGAGGAAAUGCAUCGUGGCCCUGCAGCUGCUGUUCCCCACAUCCCACAGACAGAACAAAAUCUACCCAGACGACGAGCUCCCGCAGUAUUGAUUCUUACCGGGGUACGUGGAUGCCAGUGAAAAAUAAAUAAUGCUGCAGCUGAAAGGUGUGGCGUUUCCUAAGCCAAAGAUCUGAAAGCACCUCACUUUGCUUUGCAUACCUGCAGAGCACCGUGCUUUCUGCUUUUCAGAUAUGAAAGCUGAGGCACGGAGACAUCUGAUGAGGCUCCGCCGCUGACUCACUGUUUGAUGUUAGGCAGAGCUGCGAGCGUGAUCAGAUAGCAUUGUGCAGAGCGCUCACCAGACGGCUGUGUCACCCGGGAGGAAAAGCAGCGCUCGGGCACGACGGCGUCUGCACCCGCAGCUGCCCCCCCGGUGCCCCGCAGCGACCCUCGGGGUCGGUGGCCGGGGACGUGGUGGCCUUGCCCUGUCCCCCCCCAGACCUGCCGGGCAGAGGGGUGCGUGCCCGAACCCCAAAGUCCCUCUUGCGAUGGGGACUGCAGACGGGGCUCAAGGCGGUGCCGCGGAGGCGCGCAGGGCAGCGCGCGGGUGUGCGGAGCGUGCCGAGGGCUCGUUCUCACGCGAUGGAGCGCGCGGCCGGCGGGGAGCUGGUUAAGCAGCGCGAGCGCCCGGGCUGCCUGGGUUUGGCUCGCAGCGUGGGGCAGGGCAGGCUGUCACAGCGAGGCAGGGAUGUUUUAUUAAACAGAGUCUCAAAGUGGGCUAAAGUCUCUUAUUAUGAAUUGUAAUGUCCACAGAUUUUGCCACUUCCAAAUAGUUUCCACCUACGUAUUCCUCCCACUGCUGCGUUCAGUGCUGGCAAACAUCUCCGCGCACGGAGGAGAACGGCUUUCAUUUGAAUAGUCCGCAGGCAAGUUUCGCUGCGCGGUGCCAGCGUCCUGCCCGCAGCACGCACGUGCCCAGCAGCCACCCAGUGCCAUUUACUUGCCCAGGACGCCGCAGGGAGAGCGGCUCUCGUCGGAUUUUCCCAAUGUUUUGUCCAAACACGGUCCGUGGUAGCCCGAAACGAUGUCGUGAAAUGUGAAAUCUCAACUUCUAACUCGCGGGCGAUUCCUUUCAUCGCACGAGGCAGCGCGGCCAGCUGUGCUGCUGAGACAGUGAGUCAGACACGCACCGGGCUGAAACCACGGUGCUUCACGGUGAAGUCAAGCUUUUGCAACUACCUGCAGGCUACCAGAGGAGGAAGGCAGAGCCCCGGCGGAUGACAAACUCUUCCUCACAUCCUGAGCUGCUAAAUCACGCAGUGCCCCUUUCGCCCCUCCGGCUGCGGGCUCGCCCUGGGCAGCACCCGGGGGGCUCCCAGCAGCCGCUGACCCCGGGACCCCAGGGUGCGCGCUGCGUGGGCUGGCAGCGGGGCCGUGCAGCUCGGCCUGCAGGGCAGCCGAGCCACGUCCCGUGGCUGGCAGUGCCCCGCCACCCCCCCGGCCCGCUCACACCGGUGCCGGCGGCUGGGGACGUGCCAGGCUGGGCACGAGGGCUGUCUGCAGGCAGCGUGGCUCCCGGCGCGCUUCUCCUCCUGCAGAGCACUGGGGAUGCCCGGCGGGUGCCGGGAGCGAAGCGCUUCCACGCAGCGCUGCCCGCCCGCGUGCCCUUCGCUUCCAGCCCAAGCCGCGGCUGUCCUUUAACCUCCGGUGCCAGUAACCUGAGCCGGGAUUGCUGGAAAUGAGAGAGAAGGAGAGCCGGCUAUUUGAUGACAGGCCACAGGCACAUGCCUGGCCUUCGCAGAUAUAUUAAGUAAGAGACAUUUUAAAACAAAACCACCCUCAGUAACCUUAUCGUAAGCCUGAAUCCACAACCCAUCUGCUAACUCCCGGCGCUGCCCACGUAGGCUCCCAUCAGGCGCCGGUGCCGGGGAUUUUCAGAACGUUUCGCCCCAAAUCGCCGUGCUGGGAGGCAGCGCCCCGGGAAGGUGCCGCCGCAGGAACCCGAUCCCCUCAGCACGCCCUCGGGAGCAAGCUGCGAACCCUCGCCUUUUCGUGCGUCUGUAAAUAACUCCAAAUCCCCGCGGGACGCGAGCUGCUGCUAUCCUGUGACACUCAGCCCCUCCGAGACGAGCCUCCGGAGGCCUGCUGCUCUCCUCGUGGCUUUAGAAAAUUAAAGCCUUUUUGAACAUUUCGCUGCUGCCCUAACCGGACGCUGCAGAGGAACCUUCCACGUAGAAAUAAUUCAGCAAACAAAAUCGAGAUGGCAAAUUGAUGAUUGCAUCAGCCCCAGCUUAUGAAAGCUGAUCCUCGGGAAAAUGUAAUUCAACGCUCGGCAAUCUAACUUGAUGCCCAAGAAUGCGAUGGCUUCGCUCGGGUCCUCUUUUUAGGGGGACUCCUAAAUCCUUGGCAACUUCCCUUAAGGUCAUGAGUAAAUCCCGAUAUGGAGAAUUGUUUGGCAAGCAGGAGAACAGUAAAAGGGCUAAAUAAUUGGGGAUUACCUCUGACCCUGAUUUGUAGCUCACCACCCACUGCAGGAAUGUACCAAAUAUCUCAAAGAGCGUGCAGGGAUCAGACAAUUCAUGGGCAUGAAACUGUCCACGUACAGGGAGCCUGAACUUAAAAUGCAGAGCAGGUUGGCCCCAUGCCUCAUUUUUCAUCAGCAAUCAGCUGCAGCAAGCUCUAAUUAUUUCUCUUGCCUCGGACAGAGGGUCAGCGAUGGGACAGAGUAUAAACUGUACGUAAUGUUGUCCCCUGUUUGUUUGGAAAGUAGCAGCUCGGGUCUUGGGGGCAGAAAGAGGAUGAAGCACCCGAUUCCCCCCAUUAUUUCUGACGGUGACCGUCCCCCGUGCUGCAGGAGGGGACAAGCGCAUCAGCUCCGUUUUUCUGAUGGUUAUCACUGAGCUUGUCGAGUGCCUGUACGCACGGCCAGCCCCGCUGUGAGCCCUCAGCCCGGGGCUGUGACCCUGCCCCAUUUGCGCUCAGCGCUUCGUUUUGGGCAGGCGAGCCCCCUCCUCUGCGGCGGAGCGGUCUCACGACGCUGCUCUGGGUGCACAGCACCACGCACGGCAGCCCCUGGGGAUCCCGGAGCCAGCGCCAGGUCUGCAGGCUCGGACCGGAGCCCCGAGAAGAGCAGCCUGCCUGGGGCAGCCUCAGCCUGGUCUGGGCUCUGCGCUCCGUCGUUAGCUGUGCGUGCUGCCGCUGCAGCUGGGAGCUUGGAAGGAGUUUAGGAGGUGGUUGUGUGUUGUUUUUUUUAAAAAAAAAACCUUACAUUUACAG